Gadus macrocephalus (Pacific cod) is the source of this 2338-nucleotide long non-coding RNA. RefSeq lists it as uncharacterized. Lineage: Eukaryota; Metazoa; Chordata; Actinopteri; Gadiformes; Gadidae. The transcript is spliced from 5 exons. The record is from RefSeq and is a predicted model, not a curated record.
GUGCUCUCUUUCUAUGUGGUUUAUUGGGCCUGUCUCGAGAGACCACCAUGGUGCACCUAGUUUGGCCAUAGAGCUUAUGUAGCCCACACGCGUCUCGUGGCUAUAAUUAGAACUGAAACUCGAGACUGCCCCGAAGGGCGGGACUGUCCCGGCUUGGUCCGCCAGGCUUAUAAGAGCGCGGGAUCCUUGGGACUGGUUUGGCACAAGACUUUCCGACCAGGACACAUACAAAAUUUAGCCAGUAUCCAGGGCAUCUCAGUGCGAUCUCAGUGCUUCUUGUGCGAUUUAAGGAAGAUGAUGGUCUAAAAUGGGUUUUCGACCAGAAACCACAAGGACUACUAUACCUGUUGUCUUUCUCUGAGGCCCCACACAUCCAUUCAGAGGAAUAUGCAACUAAAUGAUAAAGCCCGAUGAUAAACUACUGAUCAUGGGGAGACACAGAAUUUGAUCUUCACAGGGACCCCCAACCUCCCCUCCACCCAGUGCUCCACCGCCCCCAGAGGGUUACCUGACGAAGGGUCUGGAGAUGGCGAGGACCGUGCGGAUGAACCAGGACGGGUGGGCGAUGAUCAGACACUUGAGGUUCUUCCGUAACCUGCGUGCGCACGGGAAGAAGACAUGAAGCACUUCCUGAACCAGCUGAUCCCGGGCAUCUUGCGGCGGGGAGUUGCUCCGUUCAGGUAGAUGAUCAUGUAGUCCUCGGCCACCAGCAGCUCCAGGCUGCUGAUGACGUAGCUGCACACAGACCAUCACAACCAGUGACCGGGGAACGGCCUCUCCCAUGCAAUCAGCCAGACGUACCAACGGCCCAGUCUAGAACUAAAAGGCUGAUUAUGGUCCCACGUUCUGGCAACGCCAGGACCACGCUGGGGAUGGACGUCAUGGAGCCGGCCGCUGGCGUCCCUCUCCUCCUCCCCGUCACUGUCCCCUGGGAGCCGCUUGGCCGUGGCCACGGGGGUGUCGUCUGGGGGCCCCGGGAGAAGCACAACGAUCACAGGUCUGCACUGCACUGGGGCUUAAUUUUGCCUCUUUUUUUUUUGGUUUACCAGGAGAACUUCCGUCCAGGAAGUUUUGAUGGAAAAGAAAAGGUUUCAGGGCCAAUGGACACAUCGGGUUUCCAAGCGUUCUCACAACACACGUCAUCACACUCGCUUGUGCAAGAGUGUGAAGCCCGUUGAAAGUUACCAUUCUGGAUAGUACGUUUUCAGCUGGAAGUGGUAGGACACUCGUGUUUUACAGGUCAUUUGCCGGAAAAAUUUACACAUACGUUCACCGAUGUCGACACUUUCUCUACUAAUAUUAGGUUUUUAACUGAUAUUGGACUUUUAUUUAUUUUAUAUUAUAUCCAGGAAUGUCCCAUUGAGAUAUAAUAUCUCGUCUUCCAGGGAGUCCUGGCCGGGCCAUAUAUGUGAUUAUUAGCGGGGUAACUCACCCUAUAAAGAAAAACCAAGCCAGCAACACAAUAAAUAUACCUGCAUCCUUAUUUAUCUGUACAGGUCUACAAUGUCGAAUUUAGGACCUCAAAUUUGAAGUUCCAACUGAAUCACAGAUGAGGUGUGAUCGUUACACCCUUCAGUUACUAACACAUAAGCAAUAGCUGCAACAUUUUACUUUGCUCUAACAACUGCAUGACAAUUCAAUCUGCAAUGACAUCACUUCCCCCGUACUGACCCUCCCACUCCAGGUCGUUGCCGUUGCUGUUGUCCAGCGAAUCGGUGUCGUUGGGCGUUUCCAUGGCGUCCACGUCCAGGUCGUCCAGGGAUGCCUCGCUGGGGUCCAGGGAUAGCUUCAUGUGGGGCGCCACCAGGGUGCGCCGCUUGCCCUGCCCAGCGGAAUCCCCCAGCUUCAGGGAGCUGGGUGGGUCUGAGGGGGUCACCAGAGAAAACGGUCUUAGAAGAGCCAAAUUGAAGUUGACAUAAUUAUCAUAAAACUUGUUUAUGCAGGUUGGUGUUUCUGAGCGGUUAGGCUAGACAGGAUGAUACCUUGUCCAAUUUCCUUUUCUGGCAUUUCAUUAUCUUCUCUGAUUGUAGGGAAUUAUGAAAAACAUAUGAUGUGUUUCCUCUACGUGAAUGGUAUCCUUGAUUGCUAUACUAAUCGAUUUCCGUACACAGUCAUUUUAAUGUGCUGUAAAGCGUUGAUAUAAAUAAUCAUAUUAUAAGCCUACUAUCGUCCAACUGAACUGACUUGUUCUGUGGUCAGUGAGGCCGUAUGAUGAUUCAACGUCGCCAUCUUCUGGCAGUGGUCUGAAAAGAACAACAGUAACAGGAAAGUCAUAAAGAUGUACAUAUACUAGACGGGUAGAUGCUAUUGACUGAAGAUUAAAUGGAUUGAAGCUUGA